RNAcentral lists this ribosomal RNA (676 nucleotides) under uncultured Agaricales. Its description in RNAcentral is "eukaryotic LSU rRNA". The stretch from base 256 to 409 matches the Rfam family "5.8S ribosomal RNA". Lineage: Eukaryota; Fungi; Basidiomycota; Agaricomycetes; Agaricales. The record is from RNAcentral.
UCGUAGUGACUGCGGAGGAUCAUUAUUGAAAAAACAUUGUGAAGGAGGUUGAGCUGGCUCUUCUAGGGCAAUGUGCUCGCUGCCUUUCAAUAAUUUUCAUCCACCUGUGCACUUUUUGUAGGGGAUCUGGAAUUUGGACGUGCGCAAGCUUUGUUCAUUAGUACGGGUCUUCUAUGUUUUUACACACUCUUUAAAUGUAUGUCUAGAAUGUUUAACGUUUACUGGGACUUAGUUGGCCCUUUAAAGAAACUAUACAACUUUCAGCAACGGAUCUCUUGGCUCUCGCAUCGAUGAAGAACGCAGCGAAAUGCGAUAAGUAAUGUGAAUUGCAGAAUUCAGUGAAUCAUCGAAUCUUUGAACGCACCUUGCGCCUCUUGGUAUUCCGAGAGGCAUGCCUGUUUGAGUGUCAUUUCACCAGUCAAGCUUCGCUUGGUGUUGGGCCCUCUCGUCCCCGGUGCUCCCGUCCAGGGAGUGGGGGACGGGCCCCAAAGACCUCGGCGGCGCGGUCCUGCUCCGGUGCGUAGCAGCCUAUACCUCGCUCGUGGGGUUCAGGACCGAUGCCUCAGCCGCUAAAAGUGGGGAAGGGGGACUCGCGCCCUCUCUCUCCCUCUCUCUAGGUUGACCUCGGAUCAGGUGGGGAUACCCGCUGAACUUAAGCAUAUCAAUAAGCGGAGGA